UGUAGGCCUCACAGAAGAUGCCAAAGCCAGUGCUCCGUGCGGAAGAGCAGCGUGCCCUCUGGGUCGUUCUCCGGCGCGGGCGCUGCCCUCGUCCACAUCUGAGAAUGCAUGAGCUCGGGUUCUGAGCCUGGCAUCAGAAUGCACAGCACCCGUCGUCAGCCCCCUGAGAUGGCUGCACUUGAACUAGCUGUUGCUGUGGACCGGGAGCAUGCACUUCUCCCAGACUUGGUGAGGAGCCAUCUGUCCACGCUCGUGGGGCACCUCCUGUGA
RNAcentral lists this long non-coding RNA (270 nucleotides) under Chinchilla lanigera (long-tailed chinchilla). RNAcentral describes it as "lncRNA (ENSCLAG00000026573.1)". Lineage: Eukaryota; Metazoa; Chordata; Mammalia; Rodentia; Chinchillidae. The record is from RNAcentral.